CUUCUUUCUGCUCCUGUCGCCAUGGCCCCGGCCUCGGCGCUCAAGCGACCCUCUCGCUCCGCCCAGACCCCUGGAUGCCCAGCUGCCGCACCUCCCGUGGCCCCACGCUGUGGCUACGUGUUGUCUGAAGACGCCUGGGGAAACCUUCAGGGCCUCUGUACUGGCCUGUCAUGUGGUCAACCAGUGUGAACAUCGAGGUGUCUGGGUUCAUGGAAGCUGGUGAAGAAACCACCUACAACUAUACCAUGUCCUGUCCCUAUUUCACAUGGGCCUCGAGGAAGAUUCUCUGAAGGGAACUACAUGGAGAUCUCCUUGAUUGCACGGUCAACCCCGCUCCUGUCUGUCAGGCUCAGGAACCACUUACAAGCUAUGGCAGGUGAUGUUCCAGCAUCCCACAGGGAGGAUUAUGCUGGUGAGCCACAUGGCCAAGCAGGACUAUGGCUUCAACAGCUCUGGGGCCUGCAUGUUCCUGCAUUAGCCCUACUCCAGCAAUGAGGCUGAAGUUACCAGAGUGACAUCAUGGUAUCUGGUGCAAGCUAUAGCAUCCACCUAUUCUUGGAGCACACGUGGUCAGACACUGAUUGGCAUGUGACCAAGUUGAUGGUGGUCAAAACAGAACUCCUUUCAUGCCCACAAGCUUCAGUAUUACUAUGUUCCCUGCCACUUCCGUUGAAGUUUUGCAGGAUUGGGAUGAUCCUUUGGUGUGAACGAAGCCCCAAAGAGGACCACGUGGAGAGUGCCUGACUGUUCCUGUGAUGUCUUCUAGUACAUGAACAGGAAUGAAACCCACUAUGUCCUCCAUGUGAACUACAUGCUGAGCGUGGGUCCAGAUGGGAAACCAUUCUCCUACCCUGCAGAAAUGGUAUAUAGUUUCAAGGAUGUGGGACUUCCCCAGGCCAUUGGCACCUGUGACAGUGAGAACCUAUACUUGGCCACCCCAGUAACUGACCUGCUCUCCUGUUGGAGCUCUACAUGGGACACCAGCUCCCAUGCAUUUAUCCCUUUUCAGACCUCACUGGUGAGAAGCUGGGCUUCUGGGUCCCCAUGCUGCUUCAUCCCACCUCCCAACCCUGUCUUCAGGCCCACUGCUGAUCCCAGUCUAGAACCACAGCACCGCCCCCAUCCUGCAUGAAGAAGGCCUUGUGCAUCUGCCUUGGUGAGAUCUUUCCAGGCUGACUGGUCUGUACUCCCUGGGGAGAUGAUCGAGACCAGCUCACACUGCUGUGUGUCACAUCCAUACCUUCUAUGGGAAAACUAACCCCCCUCGCCUCCUAUGUGAAGUCUCAGGCUUCACAGCCCAUUUCAAAUGCUGUUUCUCCUAUAACCACAUAGCCUGCCAACCACUGGAUCUCCUUUCUGGUUCCUCCCUCUCCCCCCAACUUUUUCCUUUUGAACUCUCAUAAUCAGAGCCAUAACCAUUUUCUGCCUUGCACUAGUUACUUGUCCUUGACUGUCUUUAUUUUCCCUUCUGAGCUGACUUUCUUGAAGGCAGGGCCCCCAACCUGAUCACCAUGCCUCAGAUAGUAUCCAGGUUUUGCCUUCAGCCCCUCAAAUAAUACAUAUAAAAAUGAACAAAUUCCAAUAUUUAUCCACAACCUACUUGAUGGCCUAAAAAUGCAUUUUAAAUGGGUGUGUCUGAGGUAACUUGUGAAAAGCCCUGGGGUCAGGAGCCAAGUCCUACCUCAAGGAGCAGCAUAAAGGCUUAGCCCAGCCUCGUCCAAGGACUGCCAGGUAAAAUAGAGAACAGACUUUGAUCAAAAUAUGGUUGGAAACAGGAUGGUUGUGAGAACUAUGGUUGUGUUCCUAGUGUGUUUCCCUAGUGGGACUGUGGCCAUCUCUUCCAUGAUGGCCACAGACCCUUCCAUUGACAUGUGCAAGGCCACACUGAAGGAUUGCACCUGCAAGCCAACAGAGUCUAGCAGCAACCAAACCUUCUUCUGACUUGACGUCACCAGCCGUGGUACCUCAGUGAGGGUGAGUAAGGCAAAAGGGCCACCUGCUCCUGCCAGGCCUUAGCAUACCAUCUAAGCUUUUUCUUCUCAGUCCUGUGGUAUUGUUCCAUUUUCACACUGCUGAUAAAGACAUACCUGAGACUGGGCAAUUUACAAAAGAAAAAGGGUUAAUGGACUGACAGUUCCACAUGGCUGGGGAGGCCUCAUGAUCAUGUCAGAAGGUGAAAGGCAUGUCUCACAUGGCAGCAGAUGAGAAGAGAAGACUUGUGCAGGGAAACUCCCCUUUAAAAAACCAUCAGAUCUCAUGAGACUUAUUCACUAUCACAAGAAAAGCACAGGAAAGACCUGCCCCCAUGAUUCAAUUACCUCCCACUGGGUUCCUUCUACAACAUGUGGGAAUUGUGAGAGCUACAAUUCAAGAUGACAUUUGGGUGGAGACACAGCCAAACCGUAUCACCCAUGUUCUCCAUAUGCUCUAAAAUCUUGGGUUAUGUAGUUUGAAGGUGACUAUAUUAUAUAUGAAAAGGGAAUCAUGUAUGAGAAGGAACCCUUGCUAUGAAGGGCUGGCCCACAAUUACAAGAUAUCCAGACUACAGGUGAGAUGGCCACUGUAUGAAUGGAAGUCAGCUGUGCCCCUGAGCUUCAUCUCACUGUUGUCCCCACCCCUGUCCUCAGGAAAUUCCAGCUGACUAGGGAAGAGAAUGCCAGUGUAUAGUUUGCAGCAGGAGGAACUCAAAACAUCAGUGACAGUGCCCCAAAAUGCUUCAGUUUCCAUGUUCUCUUUUUCAUUUUUUAGGUCCUAUUUUACUUCCUUACCUAAUACUUAUUAUAUUGGAGGUAUGAUGUAAAUUGGAGUAAUACUGACAGACCUUCUUCUUUGAUAGACUAAGCAGUGUUGCUAGAAACAAAUCAUUGCAUAACUAAAUCAUGAUCCACCAUGCACAUAGCCCACCAACCAAUGGAGAAGACCAGCAGAACAGAUAGUAGGCUAUCUCUUCCAGCCUCAAGCCCCAAUGCUGUCAUUCCUAAGUUGAGACGUUGAAGUCUCUUUGCCUCCCUGGUACAGAGUCUGUUUGCCUUGUCUUGUCCAUGAACCAGAGUUCCUUCAAGUCCUUUCUUGCUCUGCAGUUCUACAAACCAGUGAGCCUGCUCUUGCCUCCAUGCUUGUCCUAGGCUGAUGCUGCUCUGCUACUACUCAGUUAAAGAAACAUUGGCCCAAGAGGACAGGCACAAGGACAGGUGGAAGAAGAAAGCUGUCCUGCCACCAGGAGAUGGCAUGGUGGUAUGGCAGUCCCAGCAGGGCCUCAGAGAGAGCAGACAGACACUGGAGAUCCAGGCAAGAGUAGCUCAAGCUGCAAAAAAGAGAAUAACCUGCUAGAGGUAGACUUUUACCCUGUCUCCCAGGGUGAGAAGGUCCAAUACCCCUCAUUGGUCAAGAAGCUGGUGAAGUUUGUGGCACCCAGAUUCAAAGAGGUGUAUCUGUACCACCUGACCCAAUCCUGCCUACACUUGGACCCUGACGGGCAUUGUGGUGGCCAGUACUAUCCAGAGGAGAGAGAAGGAGUGACUCCAGGACUUAUAUGCCCACAAGCCAAAAGAAGAUCAAGAUCUGAGUGGGAACUGUGGAAAGCAUGUCAUGCGAGCCCCUGCCGCCCUUGAAACUCUGCGUUCCUCCUCCUCAAAGAACAGUGCCUGAAGGUCCUGGCUGUGGCCCUGGCUGGCCAUCUUGCUUCCUGGUCACGGUGGUGGCCACUGUGCUGGUCCUGUCCAAGAUGACCUGUACAUCAUUCCAUGAAUGACACGUGACAACAGCUUCCCAGUGUAAUAAGCACAUUUAACCCAGCACUUGUCAGCCCCACUGUUCUGUUGGAAGUGUUCUAUCUCACUGAUCUUGCCUCUCCUAAAGCAAGGGACAACUCCUGGCACUCCGCUGCAGAGGCCCUUGAAGCCUGUUGGAAUUUUAGUGAAAUGAGAUGCCUGGCUUAAGCCAUGUUGCCUGGCUUCUCAAGUACCAGCGGACAUAUUACUAGCAAGGAAGAAGGCUAGCAGCAAGAAUGGUUAUUGCAUCCUAGAGGCAUUUAGUGGAGGAGAAAACUGCCCUGGUACCGCCAUAGCCCUAAGUGCUGCCCAGAGUUCUGAGCUCUCGAUGAGCACUUGGAACACGUCUGCCUGCAGCCUCCCUACACUUUUUUAUGACUUGUCCUACUUGUCAAGCCCAGCUUGUCCCACUUCUCCACAUGAGUCUUCCAGUGACAUCUUUGUGACCAUCUCCACCCCCUGGGUAAAUGCUCCACGCUGGGAGUCCACAAAACACAGUCUGACUUAGAGAUUCUCUGGCAUGACUCUCUUCCCCACUGUGUACACUGACUGCCUUAGAUGUAGGCCUCUUGUUUGGGGCCCUUCCUGGCCAGACCCUGAAGCAGCCUCUGAGGAGGGUGGUAAGAAUGGUUCCCUAGAGCCCAGUUACAGAGUCUGCCUCCUUUCCAGAUCAUGCUGUAAUGGACUGAGAUCUCAACUCAGCCCACACUCUUUCCUGGCCUACAUAGCCGUCUCAGAAGGGCAAUGUUUCUCGCUGUUAAAGCGGGUGGUCCCUCUUGCUAACCUAGCUGAGCAUCAGGUACUGGUUAGCUGUAAGGGCUGGGAAGUGGGGGGUGUACCCAUUGGCCUUGGUGAUGAAGACAGCCAGGUAUCCAAGUCCCAGCCGGGACUCCUGCUGGGCCAUAAAGGCUUCAAUAUGCUGGCUUCUCCCCAUUGAGGACCUCAGGCCCCAGUUCAUUAUCAGGAUUUUAGAAAUACCAAGAACAUCAAAAGAACAGAAAAGAGGCCCUUAAGGGACUCCUAAUAAGAUAGAAUUUGCAUGUCCUCAUUGGACUAGAACCUGAACUGCUUUAAAAAGCAAAAGGCCCUUGGUACAAUCUGAUGGAUGUGACUGUACAGAGAAGAGGAAACACCUCUGAGGGGAGUGAGAGGCCUUGGUAAGGAAGUUGCAAUCUGGAGCCACCUGGGCAGGUCAGAGCUCUAUAAGCAGGAGAAGCCAAGGGCAUAACACACAGUAGUGCAGGUGUCAGCCAGGAAUCAAGGCUAUGACAGCUGGAGUCCCGGGCCAAGAACUACAGGGGGAAGGAGGAGAAAUGCUUGUUCCCCCAACUCCUAUCUCCUGCCAUGGGGGUGGACUUCUACUAGCUAUGACAUUCCUACCAUCUCUCUGCCUCUUCCCUCUCUCUUUUCUCUCUGCCCCACCCUGGGACACGGUGACUUCCCUGAUGCUAGGGGGAGGGGAUGGUGUGGGUUAAAAAAAAAAAAACAAGCUGCAUAGCUCAGCCCCUUCCUCUCUCCCCUCACUCUCCUGGGGGUGCCUGCUUUCAGAGUCUGUGCAGCUCUUGUCUCCUUCUUACCAUAACCCUACCUGGGCGGCAGCAGCCGCCGCCCACACCCUCCCCUACCCCCAUGGCACUGCCUGCCACAUCCAGGACCAUUUCCGAAUUCUGAGGCUCUGUUGUCGGAGUGUCCCCUCUAAGCUGCAUCCUGCAACCCAGUCCUAUUCCCAGAGAAGCCCAACAUCCCCUCUGGAUCUGCCUGUCUGCAUUACCGUUUGGUUCAAAACCCAGUGCUGGUUACUGGGCCUCUCAGGACACCAGGGAGGCUGGGCUGGGGAGGACUGGUGGGCGAGCUGUCCCCUCCACAUUCUGCCAAUGCCUGGGACGUGAAACUCAUUCCUGUUUCCAUGAGACUCGUAUCCUUAAUGUCCCUUUUGACUUCAGCUAAUUCUGAGUAAGUUUUUGACCCUCGCACCUAAAUUUGGCCCAAGGCAGAAACAGCGGGGAUUGGCUUCUCUGACGGCUGAGUCACUUGUCUUCCUGUCUUCUCCCUCAUAUUCCACUUCUUGUGGGCGUGAAUUAAAGUAGAACCAGGCAGGCGACACUCUCCUGUUGGUGACCAGCGUUCCACAGUAAAAUGGGGUGUGACAGCAGCUGGCAGAGCAGCAGCCUGCCCGGGGCUGUGGGCCACAUCCCCCCUCCACCCCAACCAAGCAGCCUGCCCUGCCCUGGUGCCAGGCGCCAAUCGGCUGAGCAAAAUAGGCUGAACUCAGGCCCUGCGAGGCCAGGACGGCGCCUAUCAAGAACUCCUGUUCCCUCCAGGGCAAGAAGAGGGAGGAGCGAGGCUUGCCCUGAGCGGAGGGGCUUCAAAACUGAGCCCUGGGCAAAAUGGGGCAAGUUGGUCACCCUAGAGGGAGCUUAGGUUUAAGGAAAAGAAUCUGGGACCUUCUAGCUUUGACUCCAGUCUAACAUAACUCUCUGAUUGUCCCUUUAGUAAAAUAGAAAUAAUGUCAGUCUUGAAAGAAUGUCAUGAGGCUUUCAUGAGGACACAUGGAAAUGGCAGACAUUUGUCUUGCUGGAAGGUUCUCCCGUUUCCCCGCCCCUAUUCCAGGUAGGUUGCUGUCCUCAGUACCUGAGGUUUUAUGUGGAAUCACCAUUCUCCUUCCCAUGAUUGUAAGUCAGAUUAUAAGCAGCAUUUGAGUAGAUGGAAAUGUGAUUAGGUCUAUGUCCCUCAUCCCAACAUUCUUUAUGCCAGCUUUCAUUCCCACAGCUCCAGCUGGAGACAUGCACCCACAACUUAGCAGUGCCUUGGGGUGUCCUGUCUACUGCAGGACGUCUUCAGUGCCCAUAACGUUCUUCUCCAAAUUAGGUUUCUGAGCCUUUGCAUAUUACAUCACAGGGCUGGGCCCAUGGGACUGCAAUCCGGGAGGAUGGUCCUAGGCACAAAAUUGAAUCUUGAGAUAGGUCUAAGGUUUGCCAUCAGGAUUAAUGAAAAUAAGUGUACACCGGGGCAUGCUUCACUAACUGGAAGUCACUAUUAUUAAACUGAGAACCGGAAGGGCUAGAUCUGGUCAUAAUUCUGUUAACCAACUGCAUAACCUUUAAGCCGGAACCUUUACCUGUAAAAUAAAGGAGUAGAUGAUUUCUCCAGUUCCUUCCCGCUCAAGUGUCCUAUGACUGAUUAAAAUUAUGUGUCCAUUAAGCAGCUCAAAAGGAAUUAUGUCUGGCUAUCUGAAAGCUCACAGCCAGCCAAGGAGGAAGUGCACUAAAGGCGAGGCCCGGCUGCUCCCCAGCCCAGCACUGCUCGCUGCUGUGUUAAUUGACAAUGAUGGAACAAAGCACAUUUUAUGAGAGUUCAUGAGUAGGAAGUCCAAGGAGCCUAUACAUUAGUCACGUCUGAAAAUCUUCCUUGCUGGUCCUGCAAGCCAGAGGAGCUGGCCACUGCCACUUACCCAGAUGAAGGACAUGUCGAUCCAGAAAAGGGAACAGUUAGCCAACAUUGCUUUAUUUGCUCAAUCGUAAUAACUUUUUCCAGGGAGAAAACCCACGUAAAACUAUUGGAGACAGAAUUCUGGAUCAAGUCAGGCCACAACAUAAAAUUACAUGGUAACAAUGGUCUCCAAUUUGAGAGAAGCAGCAUAAUGCACCCCAACCUCCCACAAAAA
Molecule: long non-coding RNA, 7434 nt
Filed under: Homo sapiens (human)
Lineage: Eukaryota; Metazoa; Chordata; Mammalia; Primates; Hominidae
Description: non-protein coding LINC00954:17
Source: RNAcentral